CAGAGGGUGCAAGCGUUAAUCGGAAUUACUGGGCGUAAAGCGAGCGUAGGUGGCUUGAUAAGUCAGAUGUGAAAUCCCCGGGCUUAACCUGGGAACUGCAUCUGAAACUGUUAGGCUAGAGUAGGUGAGAGGAAGGUAGAAUUCCAGGUGUAGCGGUGAAAUGCGUAGAGAUCUGGAGGAAUACCGAUGGCGAAGGCAGCCUUCUGGCAUCAUACUGACACUGAGGCUCGAAAGCGUGGGUAGCAAACAGGAUU
RNAcentral lists this ribosomal RNA (254 nucleotides) under uncultured bacterium. RNAcentral's name for it is "partial 16S ribosomal RNA". It matches the Rfam family "Bacterial small subunit ribosomal RNA", at positions 526 to 779 of the family's 1533-position model. The record is from RNAcentral.